GAUGAACGCUGGCGGCGUGCCUAAUACAUGCAAGUCGAGCGAGCGGACGAGAAGCUUGCUUCUCUGAUGUUAGCGGCGGACGGGUGAGUAACACGUGGAUAACCUACCUAUAAGACUGGGAUAACUUCGGGAAACCGGAGCUAAUACCGGAUAAUAUUUUGAACCGCAUGGUUCAAAAGUGAAAGACGGUCUUGCUGUCACUUAUAGAUGGAUCCGCGCUGCAUUAGCUAGUUGGUAAGGUAACGGCUUACCAAGGCAACGAUGCAUAGCCGACCUGAGAGGGUGGCGGGCACCAGGGGAACUGGAACGCGUCCAGGCCGCCGCGGGGGGACACAAGACGGGAAUCUUCGGCAUGGGGGGAAGCCCGGGCGGAGCAGGGCCGGGUGGGUAUUAAGGGUUUUCGGAUCUAAAAACUCUUUUAUUGGGAAAAAAAAUAUGUGAAAGGAACUGGGCACUUCUUGAGGGAACCUAAAAAAAAACCCACGACAACCUCCGGG
This 497-nucleotide ribosomal RNA is filed under the name uncultured bacterium. RNAcentral describes it as "partial 16S ribosomal RNA". It matches the Rfam family "Bacterial small subunit ribosomal RNA", at positions 28 to 507 of the family's 1533-position model. The record is from RNAcentral.